Molecule: ribosomal RNA, 468 nt
Filed under: uncultured bacterium
Lineage: Bacteria
Description: partial 16S ribosomal RNA
Rfam family: Bacterial small subunit ribosomal RNA
Source: RNAcentral
GACGAACGCUGGCGGCGUGCUUAACACAUGCAAGUCGAACGGAAAGGCCCUGCUUUUGUGGGGUGCUCGAGUGGCGAACGGGUGAGUAACACGUGAGUAACCUGCCCUUGACUUUGGGAUAACUUCAGGAAACUGGGGCUAAUACCGGAUAGGAGCUCCUGCUGCAUGGUGGGGGUUGGAAAGUUUCGGCGGGUGGGGAUGGACUCGCGGCUUAUCAGCUUGUUGGUGGGGUAGUGGCUUACCAAGGCUUUGACGGGUAGCCGGCCUGAGAGGGUGACCGGCCACAUUGGGACUGAGAUACGGACCAGACUCCUACGGGAGGCAGAAGUGGGGAAUAUUGCACAAUGGGCGGAAGCCUGAUGCAGCAACGCCGCGUGCGGGAUGGCGGCCUUCGGGUUGUAAACCGCUUUCGCCUGUGACGAAGCGUGAGUGACGGUAAUGGGUAAAGAAGCACCGGCUAACUACGUG